RNAcentral lists this long non-coding RNA (962 nucleotides) under Malus domestica (apple). Its description in RNAcentral is "long non-coding RNA (MDOM_LNC001741)". The record is from RNAcentral. Lineage: Eukaryota; Viridiplantae; Streptophyta; Magnoliopsida; Rosales; Rosaceae.
ACCCUAACACUAAGUCCACCGGGUCCUUGUAGGAGUAGGACAUAUAAGGAUCGAGCUCUAAGCCCACCGAGUCCUAGGAGCAGGACAUAUAAGGAUCAAGCUUAGGCAUGGCUCGAUCGAGUCCUAAGUUACAAGGAUCAAGAUGGAUUCUAAUAAGAUGCGAAUCAUUCUAAGGUCAUGCUUGAUCAAAUGAGAAUGAGUCAAGUGUAUAUAGGGACUAGGUUUAGAAUCCUGGUUCAAAUCAAAGAAUCUGAGGUUAGAUAGAGAUUGGGUUUCGGCUAAGGAAUGGAUAAUGAGGGAAUAUCCAGGUAAAUGCUUAGUAGGCACAUUCCUAUCAAGACUGUACCCGGCAUGACUAUUUAUCACGAUGUCAAUCCCUACAAAUAGAAGAGGAUUAACAAAUAGUUUUUUCAAUAUUUAAUUUCGAAUUAAUGAUUAGUUUUGUUGUGGCGCAAUGACGGUACAAUUAGAUAUGAAUUGAUGAAAAAGUAUAAGGCAAUUAAUUAAAGAACAAGACUUCGCUGCUGAAAGAUCAGUAGCAGCAGCAGCUGCUGAUAGCCAAUCACACGCGGACAUGUGUUCAAGUUUUGAUUUUUUUAAUUAAAACUUGGACAUGUGUCCACGCAUGAUAGGUCAUUGGCAGCAGCGAAGUUGUAUCCUUAAUUAAAUGCCUUAAACAUGUAAUUGCAAUAUUGCUUAGGCUCUGCCAGAGCCUAUGCAACUACUUCUAACUUAUGCUACUUCACAUUGUAAAUGAGAUAAAAUUUACGGGGUACAAGGGAUGAGUGAAAGCAUAUACACAAGAACUUGAAUUACAAAUCAGGUGCCAAAACCAGGCUGAAUUACGCACAAGUCAUGAUUUUAUAUCCACGAGUGUCCGUCUCCGGCUCCAUCAUAAAAACCUGAAAUUAGACACAGUAAUUUGUAUCACUCAUGAAAAACGCCAUACCUGAUACCAUGAC